This is a long non-coding RNA of Mus musculus (house mouse), 15972 nucleotides long. RefSeq annotates it as predicted gene, 52385. Lineage: Eukaryota; Metazoa; Chordata; Mammalia; Rodentia; Muridae. The transcript is spliced from 3 exons. The record is from RefSeq and is a predicted model, not a curated record.
AAGAGUUCAUUUUGAAAGUUAAAGUUAAAGGGAUUCAAGAGGUUAACCCGUCCUGUAUUACAGCCUGGUGAAACCACUCUGCCUUCUCCGGCAGAUGCGGAUGGUCACCGGGCAUGAAAUCACCCAUUGAUAAGGGUCCAGAAUUACUACUUCUUAGCAAGUCUCCUCACACAUACUGUUGGUUUCUCACACUUAACAAUAAACACCUAUUUUUCCCUUGUGAUCUUUUCGGAACAUGAAAAUUGAGAAAGAUACUUCAAACUUAAUUUACAAAAAUUUCUUCAAGUACACAUUAAGUAUUUGAACAAUUUCUCACACCUUCAACUCAAACAGAUGGACGACUAUUGUAGCACUUUUCAUUCAUUAUUUAUGCAACAGAAAUCUGUGAUCUACUCUGUUCUGGGAAGAGAGCCAGGCAUGUGGCCUUUCCCUCAAGGGGCUUACUCUCUUUCACGAGUAGGGCAAACGUGUUUCUAGUGGAAGUUUUCAGUGUUGGUUUUGAAGGUCUCUCUUGAUAUAUAAAGAGCGCACACACCACUGAAGACUUAUUUAGAAUGUGACAGAGCAUUUCUCACAAUCCAGACUAAUUUGGAUUCUUUUCUAAGACAAGGUGACAAGGUGGAUUUUAUUUUGUUUUUAAAUGUAUUCUUCUGUUGCUAGCUCUAACUUGCAGCCUCAGGUGUCUCUUAGACGAACGAUUAAGACCAGAAUUCCCUAGUUAGCACUGGUGUGAGGUGUGAUAGUCUUCAUAUUGGCAUUUAAAAUUUUUAACUUUUAAAAUUGCUAUCCUAAUUUAUCUUUGAGGAUAGAGUUCUUUCUAAACUGCUGGUCUUAUGAUAGGUUAAAGCUCCCUACAUACGGCCCUUUGUAUUGACCUCCUAUCUCAUUCCCUGGAUCAGACAGGCAGAGAACCAUCAAGACUGCUAACUACUGGAGAUCCGAAGCAAAUCCUAAACGUCACUCAUCUGUUGACCCAGGCUUCUUCAUCCACCAGGCCACCUUCCCCGGGGUGAUGGAGACAGAGUGGAAAAGCUGUAUGGACUUAAGAACACAGACCUUAAGUCUACUCGGGAGUCAUGACUAGUCUCAGGGAACAAGAACGUCCACACACACGAAAACAAGGUACUUUAGAUGACACAUUCAAGCCACCUUCCCACAGAACCUGUGCACCCUCAGUCUGGCUCACCAUUUCUCUAAGUAUGGAACUGGACAAUGAACUGACAAGAAUAAACAAAGACAGAAGAACCACCGAGAAGAAGUUACAGAUCCUGGAGGAAGGAGGAUGCCCAACACUAAGCAUCCAACACAACUGGCAUCCUGCCUUCUAGUCUCUGUGUGCCUCAAUCUUAGUGCUUCCUGCCCCUCCCAGUUUUGUCCUUUCCUGGAGGGAUAGGGAAUCUUCAGUGUCAGCUUGAGUGGAUUUGGAGUCACUUGGGAGAUUGGAGCACAACUCUAGGCGCCUCUAAGAGGACAUUUCAGAGGAUUAACUGAGGAGGAAAGAGUCCUCUUGCAUAUGUGUGGCACCAUCCCAAGUCUGUGUGGCGGAUAGAAUAAGGGUUGCAGGAGUAGGGGGGUGGGCAGUGAACAUCCCGAUCUACAGAACGUUAGCUGGCAACCUCGUGCUCCUCAUGCUAUGGCUAGGAGCUACCUCCACAGCUGCAGCCCUGCCUUCUUCACCAGGAUAGAUGACAUCUUCAGAUUGGGCAUGGGAAUGAAUCCUGAAUUCCUUAGGAAUCUUCUUGCCAACCAUGUGGCUGUAUAGUGAGAGAAGUAACUGGCAGAGCCAGCCGUCCUAUGAUGCACCCGCUUUAUUCUCUUUUGUCCAACACUGCUUUUGUUCUGUGUCUGGAAAUACGUUUCAGUAUCUUAGAAGUCAUUCUCUCAUUUGUCUUAGUAUUUUGGCCUCACACUGCUUUUAUAAUCCUAAUAGCAUAUACAUGUUUGGUAGGAAGGCUAACGUGUUUGUUCUCUUUGCUUGGUAAUUCUGAAUUUGUCUAAGCUGUAGGAGAAAACAGUGUUCUUCUCAGCAUUUAUGCUGUGCUCAGUGGCUCACGACCUCCAGGACACUGCUUUUUGUUCAUGUGCUUUGAGCCAAUAUACUUUUUCCAUUAUAAACAAAGAGGAAUGCAAACAAGUCAAUGUCAACAACAGCAUAUGGUCUGAGGUGGAUUUACAGUUCUGUUCAUAUUAGGCAGCUGUGCAGUGGUUUGGUGCUUAGGUUAAAACUGUUUUCUUUCUUUCUUUUUUUUUUUCUUUUUUCUUUUUGUUCCUUUUUUUAUUAGAUAUUUUCUUUAUUUACAUUUCAAAUGUUAUCCCCUUUCCUCCUUUCCCCUCUGAAAACUCCCUACCCCUCCCCUCCUCCCCCUGCUUACCAAUCCACCCACUCCCUAUUCCUGGCCCUGGCAUUCCCCUACACUGGGGCAUAUAACCUUCACAGGACCAAGGGCCUCUCCUCCCAUUGAUGACCGACAAGGCCAUCUUCUGUUACAUAUGCUGCUAGAGCCAUGAGUCCCACCAUGUGUAUUCUUUGGUUGGUGGUUUAGUCCCAGGGAGCUCGGGAGUUACUGAUUAGUUCAUACUGUUGUUCCUCCUAUGGGGCUGCAAACCCCUUCAGCUCCUUGGGUACUUUCUCUAGCUUCUUCAUUGGGGACCCUGUGCUCCAGACACUAUUGUGGAUGCCAGCAAGAGCUUGCUGACAGGAUCCUGAUAUAGCUGUCUCCAGAGAGUCUCUGCCAGUGCCUGACAAAUAGAGGUGGAUGCUCACAGCCGUCCAUUGUGCGGAACACUGUGUUUUCUUAACUUGUCACUUAUUGAAUGUAAGUCAUUUGGGGGACCGUAAUGCAACUGUUCAUUCAGACUGCAGCAUAACACUAGCAUCUCAAUUACAACGUCUAUGGAAUAUCCAAGUUAAGGCUGCGCACCAUGAGUAUAUCCAUUAUAAACGUUUCCAUAUUGUCAUAAACUUAUGUGAUGAGUUUAGCCAUUCCCAGCCCACUUCUCUCAGCUCUUCCCUUUCCUUGCUUCCCCACAUGGCCUUUCCUACUCACCGCUUCCUUUUGUGUGAUCAACUGAAUUCAAUCGGGGUUUCCUGGUUGCGCAUGCAUAGGCAUAUACUGACAUGAGGGAAGGCAACUCAACAGUGGCUACAGUACUGUGGAAGGUGACAUCCACUUCCGCCAACAACCAUUCCCUGCUGCUAAUGGUUUCUCAAUGUGGGACACACAGAGAGACAGACAGACAGACAGAGAGACAAAGGGAGGGGGAAUGAAGAGGGAGGGAAGGAGAGAGAUGAGACAGACAGACAAAGGGAAAGACAUACAGAGAGAGGCAGACAGAGGAAGAGAAAGACACAGACAGACAGACCACACACACACACACACACACACACACACACACACACACAGAGAGAGAGAGAGAGAGAGAGAGAGAGAGAGAGAGAGAGAGGUGAUAAUCCUCAAUUCCUGAAACAAAACACUAAAACAUGUGAUGAUAGGACUUGGAAAGAAAAUAGUACUAAUAUUUUUCUUGUUUCUCUUUGUUCACAAGCUAUCCCAAGAGGGUUACAGAGAUAGUGCAACAGUUAAGGUCAGUUGUUGCUCUUGAAAUGGACCUUGGUUCAUUAUCAGGACCCACAUGCCAGCUUAAAAUCACCCAUAACCCCAGUCUCAGGGGAUAUGAUGGUCAUUUCUGGUCUCCAUGGGCACAGGCACACAGCUUGGUACACAAACAUACAUGAGGGCAAAACACUCACACAUAUAAAAUAAAUACAGCUUUAAAAUAAUGAAAAGGCUAUUCUGAAAAGUUUAUGUGAACAUGAAUCAUAAUUCUGUGCAUAAACAGUGUUAACAAUCUUUUUCUAAUUAACUAAUGGAAAAGACACUAAGACAAUCCUGCCAGUAAUGGCAAUUUUCACUAACUGCCAUUUUGUUUUGAUACUUGUAACAGUUGGUGUAUCUUCCAUGUUUGAAUAGGCUCAGUGUUCUGGCUGCCUAGAAGACAUCACACUGAGGACUUCCAGAGUCUCUUCUUGCUUCUUGGGUACAUCUGGGCACGUGCUGUGGUUCAAAAUAAUUCAGAUUCCCAAAGCCCAUCAGAACCAUGGAGAUGAAUAUCCAGCAAUGCAUAUGGACUUUACAAUCUAUUUUUGCCUUUUAGAGUGAUUUGGUUUUGUGUCAUUUAAAGGCUGUAUGAGGAUCAAGCUUUAAGCCUGCUGACCCCUACUCCAGCUUUCAUUCAUUUCUCUUUAUGUCUGUGCUUUGGUGUUAUACACUAGCAUUGCCCAUUUCUUUGGCUAUAUAAAUCAAGUUAUAUAGCCAAAUAUUUUUAAAAACAUAUAAAAGUCUCCAUAUGUAUUCAAUUACAAUUUCUCUAACACUAUAGUGAAUUUUUUCAAUAACUAUGUAACAAAAACGAGUCUGAGUCAAAAUACUCUGUCCGGUAUGUUACACUCUGCUCAGUGUGUUUCACUGGGGAAGAGGGGACAAUUUCAAGUUCAUCAAUUGUACCACAUUAAAUUAGCCUCCAUCAUUGACUUGGCUUGACAGCUUUCAUCUAUUUUAAUUUACAACAAAAAGGACAGCCAAGAACAGAAUAGUAGCAAUAACACAGUUGGAAAGAGGCUCUGCCUUCUUAGUUUUACACACACACACACACACACACACACACACACACACACAUGCACACACUGCUUCUGUCAUCCGAACAUGGCAUUAGUAUACAGACUUAUGACUCAAAAAGCAUCAAACUAUUGUAUAUCUUCUAAUGUUUACAAUAAAAGAAUUUUGCCUGCAAAAUCAUUUUUUCUGACCUAAACAGAUGUGUUAUAUGUUUCCAUUAUUAAGCAUAGCUUGUAACUAUGACAUUGCAUUUGCUAGAGUAAAAUGCUGUUUGCUACACUUCAGUCCUUUCAGGUGUUUGUGUGUUUAGCAUGCAUCACAUCAUUACUAGAUGGAAUAUCAAUCCACCCAUGACCCUGAACAAGGAGACUAAAGUGUUUCCAGUCCCCUUAACAGGAAGCAAGACAAAUGUAAACACUAAGCAGGCUGCGUGAGGCCAAGCUGUUGGGGCAGAAUGUCAAAGGCAGGUGGAGCUGGGUAGCUGCCAUAGUCACUGACAACCCCGACAAAAGCCAAACCAAACCACAUUGUGUCAGAGUUAGCGUUCUACAAUAGAUAGCUGAAAACAAGAAUCUUCCAGAAAGGGUAAGCAUAAUCCUGACAGUACCAUGAGGUGAUAACCCUUAUCACACUUAAGAACUGAUGUAGUAAGCACUAACUAGUUGGCCCGUCUGUGAGACAGGAUGGAAGCCAUUGCAUAGAGAACUUCCUUUGCAUGCUAAUGUUUAAUAAAAAAUUCUCCAUGUCCUACAUGAAAUCUUUCUACAUGAGGAGUAACUCCAAGUGGAACUGAUCUCUAUACCAGGGGUGAAGCUUAACGAGUGGCCUGAACUGUAAGCUUUGAAGAUGAGCUUGUGAGGCAUGGUGACUUUGGAGAAGACGACAAACCACCAACACACUGUGUCAUCGAUUCUUCAACUAUACCAUGAUGUAACAUGGCUAAGACUACUUCAUGAAUUAUGGCUAUGGCAUGGUUAAGAAGACUUCCUGCAUCAUUUUACGACUUUAUAAUCUUAGUACCUGAGUGCUAAGACACAACUGCUCUUUAUCUUCAUCUAAUUUAUUACCAUUAACAUUUUUGUUUAUACUAGAAAAAAAUAUACAUUGUGGAUCUACAGUCUAUCACAGGAGCGUGGCUGCUGGCAGCAUGAGUGUGCACCAAAGGACGUUUCUUAUGAAAUACAGAUCACAUUUCUUCUCUGUGGGUUUAAAAUGGCAUUCAGUUAUGUUUCAAAUACUGAUACCUUGAUCGAGACAGAAUGAUUCAAAUAUGAAUGGUACCCCCUUCACAUUCUAUCUUCUCUAAGAAGGAACUCUGGGCUAUUAUUUAUGGACACUUUAAACUUUUCAGAAUAAGUGUAUUAUAAAAAAUAAGCUGUAUUAUUACAGCACUAAAUUGCAGGAAUCGUUUACAUAUGUGACUUUGGUAAUGGUCUCCUGCCUGUAGACCUGAUAGAUUAGUAUUCAAAUCUAUCCUUUCGGUUCCCUUUUCUAAACUAACAGUAGGACCAGCAUUGGUAUUUUUCCUUUAAAAACUACAAUACAAACCGAUUUUGUUGCAAAGUAGUCUUUUUAAACAACUUUUAAGUCGUGUUUGUGUGUGCAUGUGUGUGUGUGUGUGUGUGUGUGUAUGCGCGUGUGCAUGUGUGUGUGAUCAUAUGUUCAUGUGCGUGCAGUUGCCUGCAGAGGCAUGCAGUCCCCUGCAUCUGGAGUUAUAGGCAGUAACUGUUAGCUGCUUGCCUAGGGCAGUGGGGAAUGAACUCAGGUCCUCUGCAAGAACAUUAGGAGCUGUUAACCUCUUGGCCAUCCCUCUAGGCCUGAAUGCAUACCUUUAAAAGCAUUACCUUUUAGCCCAUCAAGAUCAAUAGCCUUCAAAUAUUUAAGAAAUAGUAGCCCAUGCUAGUCAUGUCUGUUGUCCCUAAGGCCUCAUGUCAGACAUAUAAGAGUCUUAAGUUUCUGUGUAUGGUGGUGCUCACUUUGUAGUAAGCUGGAGAGUGGGAUGUAUCCAGUCAUUCGGACCCUCCCUUUCUACAGUGUACUCUCCCUCCCAAAAUAAAACAAAAUGGAUCUACUCACAUAACAUGUAUCUAUGUCCAGGGACCUUUUUGAAGAAUGUAGCCUAUUUUAGGUAGUAUUUUCCUGUGCCACUAAAGUUUGUUGUGCUCAAAAUUAAAUAAUGUUUAAGUAAACCCUGGUGCUCCUCCAAACAUCAUUUGUUUAAUAAGAAGAAUGUGAAGGAAUGUCAGGAAUGGUGUUCAGUGCAUACAAAAUAGAGAUAAUAGCAUCAAUUUAGCUGGAAAUGCAUUUUGGAUAGAAAAAUCAAAAGCCAUGGCUCUGCACAGCUGUUUCGAUUUGAGAACCCACUCUGCUGUCCCUCCACUAGUGGGUUUUACUUUACCCAAGAAGUCUACAGAGCAUACACCUCCUAAAAAGAAAUCAUUUGCUUAGCAAUACUAAGGCACUCGACCUGCAUCCGUAAUCAACAGCACCCAUUCGGUACACAUUUUUAUAUAUUAAGCAUUUUGUUUCCUCAAUUUAGUACAUGCACAUCUGUAAGAAAUUUAUUACUAUAGACAAGGUAACUAGUGAUGAGACAAAUCUAGUUUUAUACCCUGGUGAGGAAGCCAUGGCAACGGCCCCAUUAGAAGAUAAGGUUUGGCUUGCUACAAUGUAGCCAAGUCACCUUGGCAGAGAGGAAGUGGCUGUUACCACCAGUCUAUGAAUUUAUUGGUAGGACAAAAGAGCUACGGCAAUUUCCAAGCUUAUUCCAAGUUAGUAGAAGAAAGAAUAAUGAACAUUCUGUUAUUUAGUGACAUGCAUUUGUUUACUGUUAAAAACUGCCUUGUUCCGUUGGCUGUGGUAGCCCAUGCCUUUAGUCUCAGGACUCAGGAGACAGAGGCAGAUGGAGUUUGAGGCCAUCCUGGUCUACAGAUCAAGUUCCAGGACAGCCAAGGCUAAACAGAGAGACUCUGUCAAACACCCCCUCCACCACCACCUCCACCACCUCAAAAAAAAAAAAGAAUAAAAAGAAUUCUGCCUUGUUCACCAUUUAAAAUUAUAUUGUAUAUCAGUGAUCGUUUGGUUCCUGUGUUUUUGGAAUUCAGCUAAGGUAUUAUCUUCCUCUAAGAUACUGUCAUUAGAAGACAGUCAUCCAAUUGUAUUGUAUUAUUAUACUUCAUUGAAGUUAUUGAUAGAGUUCAAAGAAACAAUUCUUUUUACUAUGCAGCUAAAUAUUAGUACUGGGAUGAGAACUGUGAGAGAGAAAAACUUAAAGUAAUCCAUUGUGUGCCAUCUAACUAUUGGCUGUCUGUUUAAUUGCUUUGGAAACACAAGCCCGAGUCUAGUGUGGACUUUCUUAGUCAUCUAAAAUUCUUGAUUCCAUCUUUGCCACCACAAGGCUUGUUUAAGAAACUGGCAAUGGUCAUGGGUGAGAGAUGCCUCUGCUUGUGAGUCUGCAUGUGCCUCUGCAUAGACGGCAGGGGCCAGGGAGUGAAGACAGGAGAGGAAGUGACAUCAUGAAUGAGAAAUGUCAAAAAGAGGAGGCACAGAGUGGAGGCCAGGAUGAGGGCUGGGGUUGGGUAGGGGUGGGAGAGAGGAGGAUAGGGCUGAGCAGGGGUGGGGGUGGGACUGGGGGUGGGGGAGGAGGAGAGGGCUGAGCAGGGGUGCACUCAGGCACCACACACAUAGCUGUCUGGUCAUACGAGUACAGCCUAUAGAAAACAUCAUUUGACUCAUUGUUAGGUUUUUGUUCAAUUACCCUCUUUGAAAAUGAGCUCUGCUACUGGAGCUAUGGGAAAAACAGGAGGAUAAAACAGGACAGGGAGAUGGCCACUCCUUCUCCCAUUUUAAUUAUAGCAUUUUUAUUUGCUUUACAUUUGUGAGUGCCAAGGCUAAACGAAAGGCACUGAAGUUAACAAACGUCUGAAAACCAAUGUUCUCCUUUAAAAAUGUAAAGCAGAUAUUAGACAAAUAGAUGCGCCUCGUACAAUAGCCUGGGUAAAGCUUAACCCAUGUUUGUUUACAUGAAAUAGUGAUCCAUUUAGGGCUAUUAGAAUAUUAUAACAACUUAGAUUUAAGGCCUGUCUCACUUUUACCCAUAAUAGGAUAUUAAAAAAGAAAUAUAUGUAAAACAUUUUAAAAUAAGUACUUACCUCUCAGCCAUUUAAAUAGCCACAAAACUAUUACCGUACAUCAUAAAGGAAAGGCUGGCAAAAUGCCCUUAUUAGAAUAAAACUUGCCCUUUUUAUUCUACCACAAGGAAAAACUUCAACUAAUCUGAAGAAGACUUUUCCAUGGACAUUGCUUAUCAGUAAUAAACACAUCAAAUUUCCAGGGUUUGCCGAGUGUGUUUUAGGGAGCACAGGUACAUGGAAGGAACACAGCCUGCAUCUAAGGACAGAUGCUGCAUUCUAAAGAGGCAAUGGGAAGCAAGAACUCUGCCUAGCUCGUAGGUUACACUUAUGGCCAAUGAUGAUAGCACACAUGGAGCAGUAAGUCAGAAAUGCUGCUCUAAAGUAUUAACCACUUAUAAUCCCACUUGUCACCCGGACAACUGUUCCCUACAUAUUGCUUCUGGUCUGCUUGUUAAGUGGAAAAUUGAGAUUUGGACUAUGUGAGUGUCAACAAUGCAUUGUCUAAAUCCUUUCUGGGGCUAGUUUUAGAGUGCUCGCGUCAGUUGUCAAUUUACACACACUAACCUCCUCCUCCUCUCUGCCUUCUAAACACUAUACAGCAGUGUGGCCUUCCCUUGUAGCAUACGAGUGGAGCCUGCACCGGGGGUCAUGGACCUGGCUGAAUCUUUAUAUACUGCAGCCGCUGUAUGGCAAUGUAUUCUAUAAGCCCCUGCACCGUCCUUCAUGCUGACAGGUUAUCUUGAAGUUUUUUGUUUUGUUUUUGUUGUUGUUGUUUUUGAGACAGGGUUUCUCUGUAUAGCCCUGGCUGUCCUGAAACUCACUCUCACUCUGUAGACCAGGCUGGCCUUGAACUCAGAAAUCUCCCUGCCUCUGCCUCCUGAGUGCUGGGAUUAAAGGCGUGCACCACCACGCCCGGUGACGAAGACUUUAAAAAAAAAAAAAGUCAAAAGAUAUAUGGAGAGUAUCUCACAGUUCUUUUUAAAUUAUUAAUUAAUUAUUUUAUUUAUUUACAUCUCAAAUGUUGUCUCCCUCCUAGUCUCCCCCUGCAGAGCAGAGCUCUUCUUUCCUCCCCUCUCCCCUUUGCCUCUGAGCUGGUGCCCCCCUCCGCACCGCCCCUCCCCUCCUUGCAGCAUCAAGUCUCUACAGGUUUAGGCUCAUCUUCUGCCACUGAGACCAGACAGGGCAUAUAUGUAUAUGUGUGUGUGGGGGGCUAGGGGGCGGUGGUAGGGGUGGGGCUCAGAGGACCUAUGUAUGCUCUUCCAUUGGUGGUUCAGUCUCAGAGCUCCCAGAGGUCUGGGCUAGUUGGUAAUUGUUAGUCUUCCUGUGGGGUUGCCAUCUACUUCAGCUCCUUCAAUCCUUCGCUUAACUCUUCCAAAGGAGUCCCACAGUUCUAAUCAGCAGGAAAAUGACACUUUGAGGAACAAUGAGCUACUCCUGUGAGGACCACCAAAGAAGGGACCGGUGCUGUCCAGGGCAGGGAGCUGCUAGCAAACAGGUGGAUUUAAAAGCAGUAGAGGUUGCUGACUUUUUGUAAAACUUAUCAUUUGAUUCAGCCAUUCCGUUUUUUAGGCAUAUUUAAAGUCAUAGAAAGCCGCAUCUGAAAGGUGUCACUACAUUCCUGCUUUAACUAACGCACUACUUAAAACAGCAAGCUAGGGAAGAAACCUAGACGCCAACGGACGAAAGACAAAUAAAAUGAAGUACGUGCAUGAGAAGAGCCACCCUUCUACGAGGAAAUAACCUUGCCGACUGCAGCAGCAUGCACAAACUUGGAUGGAAAUGGGCUCCCCGCACAGAGAGGAGCGAGGUCAUUUUAUACAAAGCAAAAUAAUCUGGGAGAGGUCCCUACUGCACAAUUCCUGUAGUAAAACAUGUGUAAAACACAGCUAUAAUCUUGCUAAGAGGGUAGGUCUGAUAUUAAAUGUUCUACAAUUCAACAACAGAAAAAACCCCACUGAGGCAACGCCUGGCAGUGAUGUUGCCAAGGCUUCCAUAGGCUACACCUACCUGACGGAAGAAUUACAAGUUUACGCUGCAGAGGGAAUAUUUUUUAAAAUACCACUUUAAUAUUAUUUUAUGAAAGGUCUCUAAUACACAAUACAAAUCAGAAAGAAUAAAAUAAUUAAUUAGAUGAUGGUUUCAUAGAAAACCGUUCUAUUUGUUAUGUUGUUUGUUUGUUUGUUUUUUCCCCAGUCUCAGUAAACUUUCUGACCAGGGACUGAUGAAGCUCUGCGUCCUGGGGCUCGAUGCACAGGACGCUGAUCUGAACUCGCAGUCCUCCUGACUGUUUCCUCAGUGCUACGACUCCUGUCUGCCGCCCUACCGUAGCUAUUAUUUCCAUUUCUAUUGUAAAGUAAAAAUACAGUCAGAGAGCCGCAUACAACCACUGCCAAUCAUUAAGAGAGAAAUAUUGUUUUAUAAUAUGCUGUGUUCAGUAAUGAGAGAUAAAAAUUGACCUGCUAGAAAGUAAGGACGGAAAUGAAGAUUGGUCGAACUCUUCACACGCUGGGAACAGAACAGUCUCUGACUCAAUCCCCAAACUCUGGGAAGCAUCGCCAUGAACAUCACCAUGAACAUCACAUCGCCAUGGAGACUUUACAACGAAGCCACCAAGGCCCAGGGAAGCUGCACCAUUCUCCUAAGUUCACUGCUGGGGCUCACAGGGGAGAUGUCUGUGAAGGCUUUACUUGAAAUGCUAGUUUAAGUUCUCCUUGAUUCUAGAAAAAAGGUCCAGUAAUACUAUUUUUGUUAUAAAUAUAAUAGCCUCGAAAGGUUUUUAUAAUCUAAGAGAUAUUAUAUUGAGAGAUCAGCAUCAAUACUGUCAAGUUUUAAAGUACUGGCAAGGGUGGGGAGGAGAUAUGGGAUAUGGGACAGUCGGAGGGUGGACCAGGACGGGGGAGUGAAAUCUGGAGUCUAAAAUAAAUAAAAAUUAAAUAAAUAACAACAAAACAAAACAAAGAAUAUUAUACACACACAUACAUCUAAUGUAACUAUAAAUCUGCCCACAUCAUCCUUUAGUGCAUUGAUUUUAGCAGUACUAAGAUAAUUUUCUUAGAAAUGUCUUAUCAAGUAUGAAAAUAUACAUAAUAAUAUGUCAACUAAGUUGGGGAAAUAUCUAGAUUAUUAUAUCAAAAUAUAAAUGGACUAAGAUAAGACACAAUAUAAGAUAGAUCCCUUUUUUACACCUACCUAAUGAUAAUAAGGAUCAUACAAAUGUUUUAAAAGUGGUUUAUUUAAUAAACUCUAAUGUAGGAAUUUUCUCCCUAUUGUUUUACAAUCGCCCAAGAUAUCUUUGAAUUUUCCGUCUCUGGAGUUCUGGAUGUAAAUUUGGGUCUAAUUCCUGGGGCUAUUAUGUAUUUAUUAUAUGACACUUGGCAAGUCAUUUUAUUGGUAAGUUAUUUUAUCAGUGAAAUGAAAAACACAUAUCAAAAGCUAUUUAAUAUAUCUGUUAAUGAAGUAAAGUGAGGUCUGCCCCCUCACAUCUUUUGUCUUAUGAUUCACGAUAGAAGUCCUUUUCGUUGCUAAACACACACACACACAGAGUGAGAGAGAGAGAGAGAGAUCCAUAGGUACAGAAUGCAGAUAAGUCAUUUCACUAUGGAAAAUGAAAUAACUGAUAAUCAACAAUGAAGUCAGUAUGAAGAAAGGUUUAUAACAAUGCAGAUUUAAAUGCAUCAGAGUCUCUCCACUUCCCUUCAGGAGGCUUAGAGUCAACAGUGCCAUCUAGCAUCCCGAUGUGUGGAGGUCCAAAAUGCCAUGACAUAAUAGAAAAGAUAUUUUCUCAUUGAGAGAAAGUAUGUGUGGCUAGACCAGGCCUGACAUCUUGUUGCCAAUAUAAUCAAUGUUUUAUUAAUGAUGAUGAGCACCUGAUAACCACUAUCUGUGAAGAAGUGUGAUUAUUGUCCUGCCCACUGCACACAGAGGAGGGGCUUCUGAGACAAUAAGGGAGCAGUGUAACCGCUGAGAGAUGGCGCUGGGCUUGAAAUCAAGGGGAAGUCAGUGCAGAUGCGAAGCCUUUCAUCUCUUCUCUAAAGUUGCUCAUCCGCCGUGUGGAAGAGGAAAAAGUACCUCCCUAAGAGGCGACUUACGGAACUAUGUCAGAAGUUCUCAAGCCAGGUUCAGUGUUAUGGUGGGAGUUGCCAUCGUGGAGACAUGAGAACCCAAAGCCAAAGGAUGAGCUAGACUUGCACACAGUAGCCAUCUUCACCACCACGCCUGGUUUGAUAUGUGACUCUUCACUGUACACAGAGCAUUCCCAGGCAAUUUACAAACAUUGGGUGCUCCCAAACAUAAGACAUAGAAGCUUUUUUCUUACUUAACAGAUUAUGCAAUAAACAUACAGAAUUGUAACGUGACUUGCCUAUGUUCACAGAGUGCUGUUGUGGAGACAGAAUGUGAAUCCAGUGCUUGCUUUAUCCACAUGAACAACAAAAGGAACAUAAAGAGCCAUUGAGGCUCACCGUGAGAAUGUGGAGCACUGCUAGAAUGCGGAGCACGGCUAGUCUAUGGAGCACGGCUAGCAUACGGAGCACUAGGACACACAAAAUCUCACAAUCUAAAACACACUGUUACCACAAUGCGAGUCUUCAUGGCUCACUGUACCAUGCAUCCUUCACUCUUAACCACUGAAUUAUGUCAAAGGAUGGAUGUUCAAUAAACUUGUGCCAUGCAUGGCAAUAAAUAAAUAAAUAAAUAAAUAAAAUAAAAUAAAAUAAAAUAAAAUAAAAUAAGUAAAGACCCAAACCUCACGAAGUCAGAAACAAGUAUGGUGGAAAUAAAAAGUUGUUUGCUGAGGUUCAGUUUGUCAGAGGGAGACCAACACAAUGUAGGGAGUAGGACUGUGGUCUCUUAGACUGUAGGACUUUGAAAAGCCAUACAGUUCCACUCCAUUAAAUAAGUUCACAGUAGCUGAACCUCUGGUCCAAGAAUGCCACCUUCAGAAUGGGAAUGAUUGUAUUGCCUCACAGAAUCAAAGUAAAUUGAUUAUUUAUUUGCAAAGUAAAUAAAAUGUUACAUGUAACAUACAUUUGAUGGUGCUUCAUUAAUAUUAUUCUCCCAUCCAAUAUUUAUUUUGUACUAAUUUUCAAUCUAUUAAUUUACAUGGUCUACGCCUAUAUGAAAAAAAUAACAGGUCAAAUGAACCAUUAAUGGACCUAUCAAGUCAUGCUCAAUAUCAUACCUGAACGUGGGAAAAGCAGAUUAUUACAAUUCUUUAUUUAAUAAUUUAGGGAUUAUAUCAUAGGUGUUACUAUGUAUUUAGAAGUCUCUUAACUUUAUAUACUUUGUUUCAUUUUCUCCCAAGUUUGGAGACAGAGCCUUGUUUUGUAGUCCUGCCUGGCACUGAACUUGCCGUCCUGCCUCAGCCUCCUGGUGUGUGCUACCUACUCCAUCUGGCUUCUGUAUCUUGUUUUCUUUAUGGGAUAAAAUGGGAUGUUUACCCAAUAUUUCAUACAGUCCCUUAUGUUAUUCAGCAGCAUACAGUUAGAAUGGACCACGUUUUAAAGUCUGUAAUAGGCUGUGAGUGGCAGUUGCCUCUAUUACUUUGGGUCACAGUAGCAUAUUUGCCUUGCUGAGAAGGAGAGUUUAGGGGGACCUGCUAGCUUCCAUCUCAGAAUGUAGACGAGAAGGCAUUGGCUGACCAGUGUUAGGCAUGGCAUAGUGUAAGAAACUCAUCUUCGAUAGACCAAGUCAUUGCAAUGAAAAGGUUAACUCAGCAUUUAAAAGCCUAUCUUGAUCAUUCAGAAGCAUGGACAGGGGCAAGGUGCUACCGGAACGUAAACCACACAGCACUGACUUCUGUCAGGGUGGCCACUGCACACAGGACAGACGCAAUCCAUAAUACAUACUAGAUGAACAUUGUAUAAAGGGUUAUAUGGGAGAUGGGUCUUGUACAUGUAAGGUACUGCACAAGUUCAGACCCUAGAGGAAGAAACAUUGGUGGAGUCUGCUUACUAAACUUGACCAAGUGGUACAAAAGACUUCAGAAAAUAGCCUGCAAUGAGAUAUGAAAUAGAAUGGGUAAAUUACAAAAAAAAAAAAAAAACCAAAAAACAAAACCAAAAAACCCAACAACAACAAAAAUACAACAAUAACAAACAACCUGAAUCCCUCUACUAUGAAAGAGUUUGCCAUAGACCCUAAACAACUACAAAGUAAAACCAAAGAGAAAAGUCACACUAAAAUCCGAUCCAUUUCAAAGAGAACAUUGAAGAUGCAUUGUUAACACCUAUUAAAACAACACCACCACUAACAACACUGUACAAUACCGGGUCUUAGGGCAAUGUGAAAUGAAGAACCUAGUACCCUAAAAUAUUUAUCAACUAAAUAAAAUAGUUAAGAGUAAAGGUCAAACAGGAAGUGUCCUGUCCACAGAUAUCAAAUUCUCUCAAUGAAACUCCCAUGGAGUCUAGUGUGAGAUCUGAGGUGAGAGUUACUUAUGCCCCUAGGAGAAGUGUGAGCACUCGGGGCUCACUGUAACUGAACAGAUAGGAAGCCCAUGAGCUUCUGAGGGACUACAACCCCGUCCAAGGCUUGGGCUGCCAACUGUUUAUGGUAGAAAGUAAGAAAAGCACACUGCACGACACCCAUAAGGAAUGUUCCAGCUGCUGCUUGGCCUUCAGCCGUGAGAGACAAUGAAAGGCACCUGCCUUGCCCGAAGUGCUCCUGGGAUCCCAGACAGCACAGGAGAAGCUUCCGACACACACCGGGGCUCCUCACUCCCAGGAUCACAGCACAUCCGCCCCACCUUGCAUUUGUGAGGGUGUCUACACGCUGCUUAUCUGGUGCUUUUCUAUGUCAGUCUAUCAGGGACGGAGGGAGCACAGGCAUCCUUUAUGCAGUCCACAAUCUUCAGGCAGAGCAAAGCAUGUACAACUGUAUUGUAGAGGCCACUUCAUAUCCCCAAACAUCUACACCCAAGAAAGAUGGGUGCUGAGACGGAACAGGACUUUGCCCUAAUGUGCAGGUAUCGGAUAGAUACACUUAACAGGUACAUUCCUGGUAUUUAAUGUAAGAUAUUGCAUCCUUUGGGGAGGAGAUGAAAAUAACAGAGGUGUAAAUUCAUAUCCACAUGUUGAUAGUCAUCAAAUAUCAUAAGCAUCAUUAUCUCUGUAUAAGCAUUAUUUAGGAUAAUUAAAACUAUAUGUUUAUAAAAAUAAGCCAAACUAAUUUUUUCCUAAUGAGAAAAGUAGUAAUUUAGGAAAAUAUAAAAAUGAUUUAGUUUU